UACGUAGGGUGCGAGCGUUGUCCGGAAUUAUUGGGCGUAAAGGGCUCGUAGGCGGUUUGUCACGUCGGGAGUGAAAACACCGGGCUUAACUCGGUGCUUGCUUCCGAUACGGGCAGACUAGAGGCAUGCAGGGGAGAACGGAAUUCCUGGUGUAGCGGUGAAAUGCGCAGAUAUCAGGAGGAACACCGGUGGCGAAGGCGGUUCUCUGGGCAUGUCCUGACGCUGAGGCGCGAAAGCUGGGGGAGCGAACGGG
Molecule: ribosomal RNA, 253 nt
Filed under: uncultured bacterium
Lineage: Bacteria
Description: partial 16S ribosomal RNA
Rfam family: Bacterial small subunit ribosomal RNA
Source: RNAcentral